Molecule: ribosomal RNA, 482 nt
Filed under: uncultured bacterium
Lineage: Bacteria
Description: partial 16S ribosomal RNA
Rfam family: Bacterial small subunit ribosomal RNA
Source: RNAcentral
AUUGAACGCUGGCGGCAUGCCUUACACAUGCAAGUCGAACGGUAACGGGCCUUCGGGUGCCGACGAGUGGCGAACGGGUGCGUAAUACAUCGGAACGUGCCCGAUCGUGGGGGAUAACGAGGCGAAAGCUUUGCUAAUACCGCAUACGAUCUACGGAUGAAAGCCGGGGACCGCAAGGCCUUACGCGGACGGAGCGGCCGCUGGCAGAUUAGGUAGUUGGUGGGAUAAAAGCUUACCAAGCCGACGAUCUGUAGCUGGUCUGAGAGGAUGAUCAGCCACACUGGGACUGAGACACGGCCCAGACUCCUACGGGAGGCAGCAGUGGGGAAUUUUGGACAAUGGGCGCAAGCCUGAUCCAGCCAUGCCGCGUGCAGGAUGAAGGCCUUCGGGUUGUAAACUGCUUUUGUACGGAACGAAAAGCCUUCUUUUAAUACAGGAGGGUCAUGACGGUACCGUAAGAAUAAGCACCGGCUAACUACGUG